Cydia pomonella (codling moth) is the source of this 891-nucleotide long non-coding RNA. RefSeq lists it as uncharacterized. The transcript has 2 exons. NCBI's taxonomy places the organism in Eukaryota, Metazoa, Arthropoda, Insecta, Lepidoptera, Tortricidae. The record is from RefSeq and is a predicted model, not a curated record.
AACUAUAAUACCUACGCGUCUGACGUAACACUCGGAACACGCGGUCGGCCAUGUUUGAAUCCUUGGCCAGUAGCGCUCGAGCGCCGGUGCGAGACGGGAGUGUCCACGAGCCAAACCAGUUUUUCGCGGUAAAAAAUGCCCCGAAAACGGAAGCAUGUUACGGAGAGAACCUCAAAAAGCAUGUUUGCCUAUCAAUAGGCUUAUGAGGAAGUGAUCUCUGGAAAGUCCUUAAGAAAAGCGGCCCAAAUGUUUGAUUUGGAUCAUGUCUCUUUGGCGAGAUACAAAAAAAAGAGAAGCUGCGCCAGAUACGACACCUAUAGAAGAUAUAAAAAUGGGUUACAAUUCUGUAACAAAUUAAAAUUCAAAUUAACAUAUUAAGGAACAUGUUUUAUUUUAAUUUGGCAUAUCGCCAUAGUAAUAUUUUUGUUUAUAUGUAGAGAGAGAGAGAGACGCAAAGCUUGUUACAGAAUGCAAUCAAAACAUUUCAUUUUGUAGCAUGUCUUGUCACCCACUCUCUCUAUUUUUUUAAAUUGUAUAUUUUUAAAAUUUUGUUUAAUGGUUAUUAAUAAUAUAAACUUUGUUUUAUAUUACAUAAAAUACAUAAUUUGUUAUUUUAAUUUGACAUAUCGCCAUAUGGUAAUAUUUUUGUUUAUGUGUAGAGAGAGACACAAAACUUGUUACAGAAUGUUUUAUAAUAAUAUGUUGAUUAGAUAUGUUUGAUACCUAUAUAAUAAUAAUACAUUUUAGCAACAACCGACUGCUGCCAACCGGCUGAUUAAACAGGUCGGCCACUGCUAAAAUUUAUAUCAGAGAGAGUUAAGGAUUUUUUUUUGAUAGGCAUAUCGCCAUGUUUUUGUUUACGUAAUAAAACAAUUUAUACUGAUUAUUUUA